This 484-nucleotide ribosomal RNA is filed under the name uncultured bacterium. Its description in RNAcentral is "partial 16S ribosomal RNA". It matches the Rfam family "Bacterial small subunit ribosomal RNA", at positions 30 to 507 of the family's 1533-position model. The record is from RNAcentral.
AUUGAACGCUGGCGGCAGGCCUAACACAUGCAAGUCGAGCGGAUGAAGGGAGCUUGCUCCUGGAUUCAGCGGCGGACGGGUGAGUAAUGCCUAGGAAUCUGCCUGGUAGUGGGGGAUAACGUCCGGAAACGGGCGCUAAUACCGCAUACGUCCUGAGGGAGAAAGUGGGGGUUCUUCGGACCUCACGCUAUCAUAUGACCCUAGGUCGGAUUAGCUAGUUGGUUGGGUAAAGGCUUACCAAGGCGACGAUCCGUAACUGGUCUGAGAGGAUGAUCAGUCACACUGGAACUGAGACACGGUCCAGACUCCUACGGGAGGCAGCAGUGGGGAAUAUUGGACAAUGGGCGAAAGCAUGAUACAGCCAUGCCGCGUGUGUGAAGAAGGUCUUCGGAUUGUAAAGCACUUUAAGUUGGGAGGAAGGGAAGUAAGUUAAUACCUUGCUGUUUUGACGUUACCAACAGAAUAAGCACCGGCUAACUUCGUG